ACUUGAUCCACGGAGUACACCGUUUGGGAGCCAACUAGGCGCUUCAGAGGCGCUGUUUGGUUAAAUGUGCCAUCCAUAGGUAAUUGACGGAGAACAUCCAUCAACCACUUAUGAAGGGGGCCUAACAGCCUUUGGUGAACCCAGUUACCUAUGGCAAAUAACCUUAGCUAAAGAGAAUACCGAUAAGUAAAACUUCACUAGCAUAUCUGCCCUCUCCUCCCUCGUGCUUAUCCAUUUUAGAUGAAAAGGAGGAAUGAUCCUAGGCAGACCCUUCCUGGUAAGGAAAACGGGAACAGAAAACUUCUGCGGCAAGCCUGGGUCUUGUACAGCAUAAUACUGCAUCAGACAAGUGGAUGCCUGCUUUCUGUCGCCUUUUCCAAAUCUGUAGCUGGGAAAUAAGUUCUCUGUUCUUUUCAAUCCGACAGCAGUCCUUCGCAACUGAUUUGACAUCCAGAGAAGAGAGUCCUUAUUACCUGGCAAACGAAUUGAGCUCUUGAGAUUAGGGGCGUACGGAACGUGGGUUACCGUAACCGUAACCAGUCUUACAAAGAAAGUAAUUGGGUUCUUCUGUCCGAGACCGAGGAAUCAGAGUCACAGGCCUUUAACCGGGGUAAAAAGUCUUAGUCCUGGGAAGGCUACCAUAGCCUUUCAUCAGGCGUAUAGGAGCUAGGCAUAGUUCCGAAUUUUUUGCACAAGAUUAGGAAAGAGGCUCCUGAGGGACUUGAUGAGGCUGCUCAAUAAUGUUGGAUACCCCCGUGGGGGAGAGAUCUCACUAUACUCGAAUCAAUUUAACAAAUUUCCACCACCAAGUUUUUAUUCAAGAAUUCCAUACUCAAACCGUUUCCCCCCCUAUAGAUGAAUAAGGGAGAGGCCUUUGACAUUAGUAUUUAUCAUUACCCUUUCAUAGAUACGAGCUGGAUGGAUGAUUAGUAGACCAAGUCCAAUUCAAUGCAAGGCCUUCAAGUAUCGAUUUUGGCACAUGGCAGCCCAAGGAUAAUUGCUAGUUAGACAGCACCACGCGAGCUUCAUCUCAUCAUGCAAGCUUUGCUUCUUUCUUCCAUACGCCUGAUGCCAAGACCCCCUUCUUCCACCUCACUCCUGGCUUUGGAAGGAGAGGUUUCGUUUCUAUAUUUGUAUAUAGAGAUAGACGUAAGGUUGGGGGGAUAGAGCUUUGCAAUUCAAAAGGUUGCCUUCCUCUAUCUCAUAGUACGGAGUAGAAGGUAGGGUAAAAUUACCGCUGAAGUGAUGCUUUAAUUUAAGAAAAGAAGGAGAAUGGAAUGCUCAUUGGUGUUUAGGGAUCCCCCAUACUUCCUUUUGUCUACGUACGAGCAGAGAUCGCUAGGUUCGGGUCCUCCCCUUCUCUAGUUCAUCAUAGCCGCUCUCCAUCCCAAUUGGUCAUUCGCCUUAAGGAAAGAUGAAGCAACAAGUAGGAAUGAGAACAAGCAUAAUUAAAUAAUAAUAAUAAUAAAAAAGAAUCGCAUCUCAGUGUUCUAUGAUUGAGAAAGCGACAGGCCCAAUGAGCUCUCCUAUAGUGCCUCGAAAUGAGGCCGGAGAGCCUGAGAUCGGCUAAGAUCGAGAUGGAAAUGGUGAUGAGAUGCAAACUUAGAUUGAAAAAGUGUUCCGUAAGUGAAAUCAAUUGAUUCAUAAUGGUAGAAAAGAAAAACGGCGCGCACGGACCGUGCUAGAGUUGAAUCUUCCCAGAAGCAAGUAGUAGGCCCACGUAUUUCAACGAGAACACCUAAUUCAGCUUCACGUAAGAUAGCUAAAGUAUGGUAUCGACAUGAUUAUGAAUGAUAGAAUACCCGAAACACAGAAAGAGCUAGCAAAGUAAGUAGCAAAGGGAGAAGGGACUCAACUUCCUUACGAAGUAGGAGCGGAAGAGAAGCUUCCUAUCCAUCCCCGGACGAAAGUAAGCACGGUUUCCUAAGUUUGAAGCAGGACGUUAAGGCUUUAGAAAGUAAAAUGUUUGAAAUAGAAGGAUCAUAAGUCCCCGGAGACAGUCUGCCUUUCCUUUUUUGGGUUAGGAGUGAUAUCCUCGGGUUCCUUCUCUCUCUUGAAAGUGAAAGCCGAAGACGUUGAAGAAGGUACGGAAGCCGGGAAAACCACUUCAUACGAUAACAAUAGCAUUCACAGCGGAACAAACGGAUCAGAUAUAGCUACAGCUGGCCUAGCUGCCUAAGGCCUAUCUCAAAAAGGCCUCGUCUCGAGUUGCUCGGCUUAAGGUCGCGAAGAUCAAGCUUGGACAAGGUGAGGGAGAAGUUGCUGUAUGAGGUCCGGUGACAUCCAAAUUUGGACAGACGGGAGACGAUGAUCGAAGUCAGACUUGAGUAUGGGACGAGAACUCGCUGAUUUUGAUAAGCAUCAAAUGAGACUGAAAGCACCAUAGGAAGAGAACCUUGAGUUGUUUUUGACCAACUGACUGGGAAGCUCCGCUUGGGAGACAUAGGCAAAAGGAGGUGAUGAUGUGAUUCCUUAUGUACCUGUGUCUGUGUCCUUUGACAAAUCUACCUCUGAAUCUGUUGACCCAUCUCUAUCUAUAUCUUCUUCUAGGUCGGUGGACCCUGGUCUUGUUCGAGUUUAUGAUAUUCCCCGCUCGUGCCUCCCCUGUCACGUAUGGGGAUCCCCUUCGCUGCCUUUCAUUUAGCUACUCUUCAGUAUUUUACAUUUUACCCUAAAAGGUCGGAAAAAACCACUACAUUUCUUGAAUGGUCGCUGCCUACAUAACUCUUUCUCCCUCUUUUCAAGGAAGUGAGUCUCAGACCUAUUUAUGUAGUUCUCGGUCCUUUUUUUACAGUUUCUGACUGGUACUUUUGUGGCUCUUCACUCCAGCCCUGAAGUAUUCUGUAAGCUGUCAUGAGUACGCCUUUUUAGCCUACUCCGACAGCAAAUUGGCGUAGUUUUGGCAGCCAGCCUCCGCACCCUGGCAUAGGCAUUUGCUUACUUGCUCGCCAAUGCCUUGGGCUAGGCCUUUCGCCGCCCUCGCCCUCACAAUUCUCCACCCUCUGACCUUAACUACCCCCUCGACAUCGGUGGCCCCCUUAUUAUGAUUGAAUUGAAUACUCAUUCUGGUUACUGAUCAUUCUUAUCUCAUUCAUUAGGGAAGGGGCAACCCAUUUGCGCGACGGAAUUGUUCGUCAGUAAAAUGAGAGCGGAAUUCCUGGUAAAUUGUUGAAUCUCUGCCGUUCUGGUUUAAAGGAAGUUAGAUUUCCAUCAAGGCAGCUUAAGGUGAUCGAGAAGACGGAUGAAAGAUAGAUCUCUUCUCCCCUAGGCCUUAAAUAUUUUGCUGACUUUCGAAUUCGUUGUUGGAGAAAGCGAAAAGGAUUCCUUCUGGUUGUCACAUCUUGUCACCCUGUCUGGGCUAUCUGUUCGUAAUGCUUCCUUCUUUUCUUCGAUUGAAUGAAGUCCUUCUGAACUGGAAUCAUGAAUUGGACUCGAACCAAUAUCUCUUUUGCCUUUAGUCGAUCAUGAUGGGAAGACCCCGCUGCCCAGGAUCUCGGCACCCCUCCCCCCUUUCUAAUGAGGGGAAAUUUACCGUUUUCUACUCAAAAACCAGAGAACACUCGACCGAUCUCAUCCAAUUGAAAAAAAAAUGCUAAUUCGACUGUCCUGUCUAUUAAGGAGGAUCACGAAUCCUGGGAAUCCUGAGGCGGACCAUCUCGAAUAGAAAAAAUAUUCUACUUAUCCUAAAUAGAUAUUGGUUAAGAAAAGAUAGAAACAUUCCUAUUUUUUAUACAUCGGGUCGUUAAAUUUCUGAUUCCCUAAAGAAACCAGAUAAUCAAUAAAAUCAUCCCAAACGGGACAGUUACCUGUCCCUAAGAAGCGUCGUAUCCUUCGGAACUGCUCUAGCCGCCUAUCGAUGUCUGUUUCCCAGGCAUCGUAGAGAGCCAUGUUGAUGGCACGCGCGAUAUCUUGAUCGUCAUUUUUAUCGAGAAAAACGCCUUUCCCGAGAAAGAUUUCACGUGCUCUUUCCACCAUCCUAGCCUCCUCAUUUUUGCAGUUUGUAUUGAUUGCAUCAACUGCUCUAUAAAUGCGGUCCUCCGUCCCCGGGUCGAUCGGAUUUGGAAGGGGGCGGGCAACCUCAUCUUCCUCUUCCGCUAAAACGUCGAGGUCGAAAGAGGUCCACCCCGAGCUAGAACCUUCGUGUGAACCCACACCCACUUCGGAACUUGCCGCCGAUUCCGGGGGAAUCAAGGCGGGAAGAUUGGAACUGCCAGCACCAUUGUCAAAAUGGCAUGUCCAACCAAAGUCGAGAGGUUGCGAGCCUAUAGUAGCGACUAAUAAGUCCAAUGGUCCUAUGUGAAAUAACAAGAGUAUGAAAUCGAGAGAAAUCCAAUAAAACAAAAUUAACCCAAAACUUCUUACUACGAAACUACUGAAAAGGGAAAUUCUGAACCGUGAAAACAUGAAACACGUUUUAUGUGUCGAUAGUACGACCUGCGCGGUUGUUCUUCUUUCAUUUUCUUUCUUCUUAGAAAGCACUCACUGAGUUACUUACGAAUCAGAAGGAUUGAGGCUGACUACGGCCUCAGAUGAUUAGGCGGGGGCAGGAUUCGAACCUGCAGUUUUCAGGUCAUGAGCCUGAUGAGUUGACCAAUUCCUCUACCCCGCUUCUUCCCCGUUUCCUUCUCUUUCUCUUACUAUUUUGAUAGAGGAGACAGCCCACACUGAACACCAACCCAAUCUCGACAAACUACUAGGUGAUUCAAGUCGCUUUCUAUGGUACGAUCCGCAAAGACCUUUCUUCUUUUAUGAAAUUUUCGGGACCCUAAAAUGCAGCAGUUCUCUUAUAUACGCUAUAUGUGGCUGCUUCUUAAAUAGCUUGGCUUUAGUCCCUAUGUCCCGUACCCAUUACCUUUGGGUAGGGAAUCCACAGGAAGAAGCAUGAAAUCACCCGAGGAAUGCCUCUAUUUAUGCCUGGUCGCAGGUUUCAUCAUUCUUUAUUUUAGCUCGGUAUUGAGGAAAGAGGGAGCAACUUAAUCCACCCAGUCUGCAUUCCUUUAGGAAGGAAUGCUGGAAAGGAAAGCACUUGGAACAGGCCGUUGGCUUUAGGAAGAAAGCCCGACUUUGAAGCUCAGCUUAGCCCAGGACUUUGGAAUAGAGCGAAGGAAAAGCGCCCUGGAUCUCUCGAUCCAGAACUACUAGGAGGGGAGGGAGAACCUUAUCCCAUGACUCACUUUAGUCAUGGAGGGCUGGCAAAGAAAAGUCACUUUAAGAGCUACCAGGGCAGGGAAGGUAGUCAGCUUAUUAACUGGAACAAACCAACUCCAUUGGGCAAGUGAGGGUUAACCCCCUAAAUCCAAGUCGGGGGGACUUCCUCAAAGAUCAAAGACAGGAUUGGGAAGACCGGACGUUAAGAGAGAACAAGGGAUAAGAACUAGCGUCCGGAGAUAACAAUAGAGGCCUUCAAACUUACACGAUGUUGGGGGAUAAAAGAUAGAGGAUAAGACUUCUAACGAUCCUUUUAAGAUACAUAGAUUAUCCUACAUGCCCAUAGCUAUAGCUACAGGAGCUAAUAGAAAGAGAGGGAUACGAGCCUCUUUUCCAAGCGAGCCAUGGGAGUCUACGUUUGCGUGGGGCCGGGUACCACACAUAUGUGGUGAAAGCCGACUUGCCUUUUCAUCUAAUUCGUCACUGAUAUAAGCACGUGCUAAUAUCGUUCUGCCCUUCGGGGACCACCCCUCUUCCUUUCUUGUUUUGGUUAGGUUGACCAGAAGUUUUUCUGCCAACUUCUUACCAACAAGGAAAAAUGAUACAAAAGCAUCCCGUCUAAAGAUUGGAUGACCUUAGUACGGUUGAAUUACGCAUCAAGGCGCGUCAGCCUUAACGCCCUAACUAACUAGAAAUAUCUUAUGAGAAGAAAGGGCUUUCUUUCUAUAUUGGUAAAAUUUAUUUAUGCCCGAAGAAUUUGUAGGGUUAUCGCCCGAUAAUGUUAAAUUGAUUCAAAAUAAGGUAAAGACUGGUAAGUAUACUCUGUCUCCAUUUCCACUUAAAGUAUUUUCUAGUAAAGAAAAAGCACCUAAGAAUACAUAUUUAAUUCAUAUUAAUAUAGAUAAAUCAACAGUUUAUGGAUGUUUAUAUCCUAUUCUGGAAGAUCAUAUUGUUAUUACUGCGCUUGGGCACUUGCUUAAUAGUAGAUUGAUAUCUCUUAAUAUUCCUCAUUCCUUAUCCUUUGGAUAUAAUCAGUAUCCUAGUUCAUAUUUUGCACAUAUUUUAUCGUCGAUAAAGAUACCUGUUUCUAGACUUUACAAAAUUAACAUGUUACACUCUCUAUUUAAAAUUAAUAAAGAAAGUCUUUUGACUAUGCUUGAACCAAUAGUGUUAAGUUCAGAUAUAAUGCAGUUAAUCAAAUCUAUCCUA
Long non-coding RNA from Arachis duranensis, 6357 nucleotides. RefSeq lists it as uncharacterized. The transcript has 2 exons. The record is from RefSeq and is a predicted model, not a curated record. Lineage: Eukaryota; Viridiplantae; Streptophyta; Magnoliopsida; Fabales; Fabaceae.